ACAUCCACCUCUCGUCCUGGUUCCACCUCCAUCAUUCUUCCUCCAUCACUCUCUCCUCCUGUUCUCUCUGUGUUGUCAUGUGUUGGAUCAGUGUGUGUUGUGGUUCUACUGGUGUUACUGGUUGUGCUGGUGAGACAAUAUGUUCACAGGAAACCUGAAGCUGAACAGGAGACGGCUUCAGAAGAUAACAUCACAUAUAGUGAUGUCAAAAUAUCCAAUUGCCAACAACAGAUUGCCCAACAAAACAGAGAGAGUGAUCCGGCUGCAGUCUCUCCAGCAGUGAGAACAGACUACGUCACUUAUGGGCAAAUCAUCAUCAAAGACAAGAAAAAAAAGUCAGAGAGUGAUCCAGCUGCAGUGUACUCAGGAGUGAGAACAGAAGACAUCAAUUAUGGACAAAUAGCCUUCAGACCAAAGAGGAAAAAAGACUUUAAACCAGAGCCAGACGUCGUCUACUCUUCACUGAAGUAGUCCACCAGUCCAACCACUGACGUCCAGCUGCUGGUCUCUAACUGGUCCACCCAUCACCACCACAGACACAUCCAUAUGUUGAAAAGAUUUCUUUUUGAUGUUUUGUGUCUUUUAUUUGACUUAUUACAUCCUCCUCCACUUACAAAUUCAGGGUUGCAGUGGGGCUGGAGCCUAUCCCAGCUGCUGUAGGACAAGACUCAGGGUACACCUUCAGCAGGUCCCCAGUCUUGCAGGGCUAACACAGAGAGAAUUCACACCUACGGCAAUUUAGAAUAAUCAAUUAACCUAACCCCACUAACUGAAUGUUUUUGGACUGAGGGAGGAAGCCAAAGAACCUGCAGAGACCCACACAAACACAAGGAGAACAUGCAAAUGUCAAAAUCAGCAAUAUUAAUAUAAAUAUUUUAAUAUAUCUUAUGUUGCCAGUAACUUUACUGUUAUUUCCUUUCUUGUUUGUUGGAUCCAGUUCUUGUUCUCAUGGCAGCGAUCUGGUUUCUUAUUAAACUUUUGUUCUCUUGUGUGUUUCUCACGUGGUUCUGUGGGUUUCACUGAGUUGUCAAGUGAAAAAUGUGAACAGUUCCGGUUUGGUUGUGGCUAACCGAUGCACUCUGUCAGUACAGUCAGUUUGAAGAUAUGAACUUGAACAUCGGUGUAUAACCAUAGACAGUUUUUCAUUAUGUUACAUUACAACUGUUUUUCAUCAAAUGAUGUAGAAGAGAACAAACACAGUGCUGUUAGUAGAAAAUCAUUAAUUGACUGUUUAUUAUUAUCGUUAUCAAUUAUUACUGUUAUUAUUUAUAUUAGUAGUAGUAGUAAUAUUGCUACUCGCCCUGGGAAACAUUCAUAGUGUCUGUCUCAAUACUUUCAGAUGAAAACUAAAGGCUUUAGUUUUUGUCUGAUAAAGUAAUAAUUCCUGAACAUGUGACUCAGAGUAAUUACUGGAGCACAUUUCCUGACCCAGCACAGAGCCCCUCCUCUUAAACCUGUCACUGAAGCUUGACGUGGCCGUGCUGAUUGUCUGUUGUCAUCUACUGUUAAAACUAGGUCACACAGCGGGGCAGCUUUUAAAUUUAUAUUUAUAUGUUUAUAAAUGACAUUAAUGCCACUAACUGGAGAGAUUUCAUUUCUCUUCUGACCUGGAAGCAUCUCAGGAUCACUUCACAGUAAAUACAUUUGGACAAAAGCCAAAGUAACAGUCCGUAAAAUCCUAAAAACAAGUGACCUCAUUUCAUUUGUUUGUUCUUAGUUUAAAGCAGCACAAAGUCAGAGACCUGAAACAGCAACAGGAAAUAAAAUGAGAGCAGCACCACAAACACAUAAAAAGACAGACGGCACGAGGUUUAACCAGUGACUUUUCCUCAAUACCAAACAGAAAAUCCCUCUUUGAUUUAGUAUAGAUUAAUUAUUGAAUUACAGGAAAGAAAAAUAGAAUUAAAUAGAUUCCAUGACCCCAAAUUAUUGAUUCAUAAUGAUAACAAUAAUUAUAAUAACAAUAAUAGUAGUAGUAUUAAACUUCUCAGAUCAGACAUUUAACCUGAUCACAAAGGCAAAACACUCUGACGCUCACAGUGUUUAUUUAAUCCCAUCAUGAAAACAUACUUAAGUGAAGAUAGUUUUUAUCCACAGUUAAUUAGAAAUAAAAAUAAUGCCAUCUUAUCAGGAAGUGCACAUCCUCAUCUACAGUCAAACAUAGUCAAACAUCUCCCUCUAGUGGCCAUAAAUAAACAAUGCACAUUUACGCCACUAAUUCAUCAGGACAGCUCAAGACUCAACACUGUACAGAAAAAUACUGCCGACAUUCUACUGCGUGUCUUUCAUAUUAAAAGCUCAUUGCGAAUGAAUGUAAGGCUUUAAUGUGAAAAUAUCAGAGCAAGUUUGAACAACCUUACCAAUAUAAACACUGAAAAUAAACAUA
Molecule: long non-coding RNA, 2386 nt
Organism: Oreochromis aureus
Lineage: Eukaryota; Metazoa; Chordata; Actinopteri; Cichliformes; Cichlidae
Exons: 5
Source: RefSeq, a predicted model, not a curated record